CACUUUUUCUUUGGUCAUUUUAGCUUUUUUUCGCCAGGGUAAAGGGAGUAUCUGCCAUCAAACAAGAAAACAGCCGCAUGUAACUACACUCAAAAAAAUGAAUGAGGUGGCAGUAAUGCAAAAACAGUUGUAAUGAAACCGCGAAGAACAACAAGGUUUCAUGGCUUGGGCCUGCUCAUGCGCAAGACUUCAAAUUUAACUUAAAAACGUUUUUUUGGCGCCAAGCUGCUGUUUCUUUGAGAGAUCCUGCCUUUACCUGCCCCCUCCUAUACUGAUGUGGUGUAUGUGGUACUGCUGAGCUUGUAUGUGGUGGAAGCAGAAUUUGUGAGGAUUACUACUGCUCCACUUGACCAAUACACUGACCAGCUCAUAAAAGUCUUCAAGAAAAAAGGAGGUGCUGCAGUGAAGAAAAUUAGACAAACUUUGGCCCCUGCCACACAGAAGCAAACUAUUGAAAAGGGGAGGGAGUGUGUCCUCAGGGCACUACCUUUUUACCUGAAUGAAGACCCAAGCAUCCUCUUCAAAGAAUAACUGCUACAGCUACAGCUGUUCAGAGGGAGCUGGAACAAAUUACCCUUGCUAUCUUUACCAUCGAAAGAGCUGAUACCUCCAGCCGAUGUGGGUAUAACCAUCUAGGGUGUUCUGCAUGACCUGGAAGACAUGCCCUCUGCAUGUGCACUCUUAAUGGGUGGGAUAUAUGCACUGAAUCUCAGUUAACCUCGAGACUUAAAGCUUUCUUUGAAGUACUUCAGAAGCUCUUCCUUCAUCUGGAUGUCAGCAGACUCUUGACCAAGGUAGAGAUGCUCAAGAAUAAAUUGAAUGAAUAAGCCAACCCUUAAUUUGGAUGUUGAAUGUUCUGUCAGAUGGACAGAAGUUUUUCGGAGGCUGAAUGGGAAUAAAAUGGUAAUUUGUUGAAAAUGACAGAUAAAGGGAAAAUUACACUUAAGAGAAAUUUUGAAAAGUUUGUAAACUACUACAAUUUGACAGAUUUUACUCUUGUGUUACAUUUUGUGCAUUGUAAAGGUAAUUGCAAUACAUACUAAGAAUAACGGUAAGUUAGGAAUGCAGGAUGAAUGUAUAUUUUGCGGACUUUUAAAGACGAACAAUUGUUUCCAUGUUAAAAUGUUUACAACUCAAGUUUUUUGCCCAAACACUGGUAAAAUAAACGUUGACAGUGGCAAGUGUUAAAUGGUUACUGUUGUGCUGUUGCAAAAAACCUGAACGCUGACAAGGUGUUUUAUUGUUAGACAAUAAUGCUGGCAUGUUUUAUUAAAGUUUUAUUUGGGAUGGUGAUAUAAUUUUCUUUGAUUGCUAAUAUCAGUGGACUGUUUAUUAUUAUUAUUAUUAUUAUCAUUAUUACAUUAUUUUUUUAAUUGUGGCCGUUGAGGUACACACUUCACUUUGCAUGUGUUACUGGACUGACCCUAAGCAACCAUUGCAAAUAGCAACUUUGCUAUUCAUUUUAGACACUAGAAGAAAAAGCACUCCACAGACCUUACUAGCAUCACAUGUGCAUAACUCAAGUGUCAUCUUAUCAACAUGUUAUGUAGUCUUCAAUGUUUUUUUUUCUUCUAUUUCUGGCAGAUACAGACAUUUAAUUUAAAGUAUUGAUGUUGCAUCUGUCUAUAUACUGUUAAUUACUAACCCUAAUGAGCUGUUGUAUUUCAUUUUGGACUGGG
This is a long non-coding RNA of Oreochromis aureus, 1679 nucleotides long. NCBI's taxonomy places the organism in Eukaryota, Metazoa, Chordata, Actinopteri, Cichliformes, Cichlidae. The record is from Ensembl.